ACCAGGACAGUGGGGCAAGUCAGUUUGGAAAACCCCCUGCUUAAAAUGCUAAGCAAGCUUGCAAGGUGCAGAUCAGCCUCCCAGCCUUUGUCCUAAUUGAGUAAUCAAAUCUUCAACUGCAAAGGCUCCUAGAAGUCGGGAGAAUGAUGGCGUGGAAGGAGACUACAAAGUGACAAAAGUAUUAGAUGAAAAACUCAGAAAGUCAUCCAUCUGUCAUAAAUGUGCCCUAACUGAAAACUGGAGUAACAAAUGUUUGCAGUGCUUAUCUGUAUUCUGUCACAAGGACUAACUAACUCGGUCCUCAACUGAAAAACAAUGCUGAGGAUUCCUCCUUACACAGCUGAAGAGAUGGCAAGCAUGGUGCCUUGCUACAGCCUGACAUUUCCAAUCACAACCCUGAGAUGGAUGAGCAUGUCAUCAAGCUGGAGCACCAAAGCCAUGUGAAGGGCUGUUCCUGCUGUGAUUCUCACAGACCGACAAUUCUCAGUAGAAGCCAUUAGACUCAACAGGAAUCUUUUGUUGUUGCUGCUGCUGUUGUUUGGCUUUUCUGUUUGUUUUGUUUUGUUUUUCAAGACAGGGUUUCUCUGUCUUACAGACCUGGCUGUCCUGGAACAUACUCUGUAGACCAGGUUGACCUUGAACUCAUAGAGAUCCACCUUCUGGCUUCUGCCUUUUGAGUGUUGGGAUUAAAGAUUUGCACCACCACUGUCUGGCUCAGCAGGAAUCUUUCCUGCCACUGUUGUCAUGGGUCUUAGAAGUCAGUGAACUAUGGUACCCAGAAGAUGAGGACAAAAAUAAAAGAUGAGAGCCUAGAAUUUAAAGGAAGUUCCCUAAUGCUACACACUGCUAUUAUCCUCCAGUACAAUUGAGGAACAUGAAGCUGUGUGGGUUUUCUCAACCUACCCAAGAUUACAUGUAUCACAGUUGGGACCCUACCAUGAUCCCUCCUAGCUUCUGAACCCAAUGUGACCUAGGACCUCAAUAAAAUUCUUGCCCUGUCUUCUUUCUUCAAUGGAUAAUUUAAAAUAGAAAUAAUAAAUAUAACACCUCAUUGUGUAUAGGUAGGACUUUACUCCCGAUAAAUGGUGUUCUUUCAGCUUGACCACACAUGCUGCACAGAACGGAAGUCGUUCCACUAUGGGCUCUGACAUGGGUUAUCGGCUAGAGCCUUAUUUCUGGCCCACACACACACCAGUAUCAAAAGCCUUGCUCAGAGACUCACUGAUGACCCAUGUC
Molecule: non-coding RNA, 1236 nt
Organism: Cricetulus griseus (Chinese hamster)
Lineage: Eukaryota; Metazoa; Chordata; Mammalia; Rodentia; Cricetidae
Source: RefSeq, a predicted model, not a curated record